GGGGGCGUACUGGUUUCGACGGGGAUGCGGAGAUCGGAAUAGCGGGCGGAUGCGCCUGUCAUCCUAAAAACGGGCAAUUAUAAAUCAAAGAACAACGAAGAUACUGUUCUUCUCGCUGCCUAAGCAGUGAGCGUCCCCGCCGGGAGGGCCGCGGCCCGGCUGCGGGGCGUCGAUCAGCGGCGAACGUGAGUGCGCAAAGCUUUGAGCGCACCAUGCACAAUGAAGCUACCGAGCCUUUGAGUGUGAGCGUCCACGCCUGGGUAAGGGAAAGCAAAUGACUCUCUGCGCCCGGAGAGGUUCCGAAGGAAGCAUUUUCGGACGGGGGUUCGAUUCCCCCCGCCUCCACCA
This 348-nucleotide transfer-messenger RNA is filed under the name Candidatus Scatomorpha stercorigallinarum. It matches the Rfam family "transfer-messenger RNA". Rfam says of the family: Bacterial tmRNA, also known as 10Sa RNA or SsrA, is named for its dual tRNA and mRNA-like properties. Its role is to liberate the mRNA from a stalled ribosome. To accomplish this part of the tmRNA is used as a reading frame that ends in a translation stop signal. Lineage: Bacteria; Bacillati; Bacillota; Clostridia; Eubacteriales. The record is from RNAcentral.